This 222-nucleotide ribosomal RNA is filed under the name uncultured bacterium. RNAcentral describes it as "partial 16S ribosomal RNA". It matches the Rfam family "Bacterial small subunit ribosomal RNA", at positions 111 to 334 of the family's 1533-position model. The record is from RNAcentral.
UAACGCGUAGGAACCUGUCGCACAGAGGGGGAUAACGCUGGGAAACCGGCGCUAAUACCGCAUGUGGUUCUUGGAGGGGACUUCAAGAAAGAAAGCAGCAAUGCGCUGUGUGAGGGGCCUGCGUCCGAUUAGCUAGUUGGUGGGGUAACGGCCUACCAAGGCAUCGAUCGGUAGCUGGUCUGAGAGGACGGUCAGCCACACUGAGACUGAGAUACGGCCCAG